UUUACGGAGAGUUUGAUCCUGGCUCAGGAUGAACGCUGGCGGCGUGCUUAACACAUGCAAGUCGAACGGUGAAAGCGGAGCUUGCUCUGCUGGAUCAGUGGCGAACGGGUGAGUAACACGUGAGCAAUCUGCCCCUGACUCUGGGAUAAGCGCUGGAAACGGCGUCUAAUACUGGAUACGAGCUGCGAAGGCAUCUUCAGCAGCUGGAAAGAACUUCGGUCAGGGAUGAGCUCGCGGCCUAUCAGCUUGUUGGUGAGGUAACGGCUCACCAAGGCGUCGACGGGUAGCCGGCCUGAGAGGGUGACCGGCCACACUGGGACUGAGACACGGCCCAGACUCCUACGGGAGGCAGCAGUGGGGAAUAUUGCACAAUGGGCGCAAGCCUGAUGCAGCAACGCCGCGUGAGGGACGACGGCCUUCGGGUUG
RNAcentral lists this ribosomal RNA (426 nucleotides) under Microbacterium sp. RNAcentral's name for it is "bacterial SSU rRNA". It matches the Rfam family "Bacterial small subunit ribosomal RNA", at positions 1 to 425 of the family's 1533-position model. Lineage: Bacteria; Bacillati; Actinomycetota; Actinomycetes; Micrococcales; Microbacteriaceae. The record is from RNAcentral.